This is a long non-coding RNA of Clupea harengus (Atlantic herring), 197 nucleotides long. RefSeq lists it as uncharacterized. NCBI's taxonomy places the organism in Eukaryota, Metazoa, Chordata, Actinopteri, Clupeiformes, Clupeidae. The transcript is spliced from 5 exons. The record is from RefSeq and is a predicted model, not a curated record.
AGAUGGACAAGACUCAGAUGACAGAGCAGCUCCAGUCAUAGCAUUCAUCAAUGGAGAAAACCGUGAUGAUCAGACCCCUACAAGUCCAGCCCAAGGAGACUCAGGUGCAGACUCAGCUGACACCACAAAUCAGCCAGACAAGAGCUCAGAAGAGGAGUCAGACGCUGGGGACAAAGACAAAGACGCAGAAAUGAAGG